Molecule: ribosomal RNA, 282 nt
Filed under: uncultured bacterium
Lineage: Bacteria
Description: partial 16S ribosomal RNA
Rfam family: Bacterial small subunit ribosomal RNA
Source: RNAcentral
AGCCGCGGUAAUACGGAGGGUGCGAGCGUUAAUCGGAAUUACUGGGCGUAAAAGCGCAUGCAGGUGGUUUGUUAAGUCAGAUGUGAAAGCCCGGGGCUCAACCUCGGAAUUGCAUUUGAAAACUGGCAAACUAGAGUACUGUAGAGGGGGUAGAAUUUCAGGUGUAGCGGUGAAAUGCGUAGAGAUCUGAAGGAAUACCGGUGGCGAAGGCGGCCCCCUGGACAGAUACUGACACUCAGAUGCGAAAGCGUGGGGAGCAAACAGGAUUAGAUACCCUGGUAG